GUGUCAGCAGCCGCGGUAAUACGUAGGUGGCAAGCGUUGUCCGGAAUUACUGGGCGUAAAGGGUGCGCAGGCGGACAUUUAAGUGAGAUGUGAAAUACCCGGGCUUAACCCGGGCAGUGCAUUUCAAACUGGGUGUCUGGAGUGCAGGAGAGGAGAACGGAAUUCCUAGUGUAGCGGGGACAUGCGUAGGGAUUAGGAAAAACACCAGUGGCGAAGGCGGUUUUCUGGACUGUAAAUGA
RNAcentral lists this ribosomal RNA (239 nucleotides) under uncultured bacterium. RNAcentral describes it as "partial 16S rRNA". It matches the Rfam family "Bacterial small subunit ribosomal RNA", at positions 505 to 743 of the family's 1533-position model. The record is from RNAcentral.